RNAcentral lists this ribosomal RNA (497 nucleotides) under uncultured bacterium. RNAcentral's name for it is "partial 16S ribosomal RNA". It matches the Rfam family "Bacterial small subunit ribosomal RNA", at positions 28 to 507 of the family's 1533-position model. The record is from RNAcentral.
GAUGAACGCUGGCGGCGUGCCUAAUACAUGCAAGUCGAGCGAACAGAUGAGGAGCUUGCUCCUCUGACGUUAGCGGCGGACGGGUGAGUAACACGUGGAUAACCUACCUAUAAGACUGGGAUAACUUAGGGAAACCGGAGCUAAUACCGGAUAAUAUAUUGAACCGCAUGGUUCAAUAGUGAAAGACGGUUUUGCUGUCACUUAUAGAUGGAUCCGCGCCGCAUUAGCUAGUUGGGAAGGUAACGGCUUACCAAGGCAACGAUGCGUAGCCGACCCGAGAGGGUGAUCGGCCACACUGUAACUGAGAUGCGGUCCCGACUCCUACGGGAGGCACCAGUAGGGAAUCUUCCGCAAUGGGCGAAAGCCUAACGGAGCAACGCCGCGUGAGUGAUGAAGGUCUUCGGAUCGUAAAACUCUGUUAUUAGGGAAGAACAAAUGUGUAAGUAACUAGGCACGUCUUGACGGUACCUAAUCAGAAAGCCACGGCUAACUACGUG